This is a non-coding RNA of Otolemur garnettii (small-eared galago), 108 nucleotides long. The record is from Rfam. NCBI's taxonomy places the organism in Eukaryota, Metazoa, Chordata, Mammalia, Primates, Galagidae.
GUGCUUACUUCAGCACAAAGAAUAAAAAUGGAACAAUACAGAGAAGGUUAGCAUCUCCCCUAUGCAAGCAAGAAUGAUAUCCAAAUUCAUGAAGUGUUUGAUGGUUUU